UACGGAAUGUGCAAACGUUAUUCGGAAUCACUGGGCUUAAAGAGUCCGUAGGCGGCGUGUUAGGUGAGGUGUGAAAUCCCCCGGCUCAACCGAGGAAUUGCGCUUCAAACCGGCGUGCUUGAGGAAGAUAGAGGUGGGCGGAACUGAUGGUGGAGCGGUGAAAUGCGUUGAUAUCAUCAGGAACACCGGAGGCGAAGGCGGCCCACUGGGUCUUUUCUGACGCUGAGGGACGAAAGCUAGGGGAGCAAACGGG
This 253-nucleotide ribosomal RNA is filed under the name uncultured bacterium. Its description in RNAcentral is "partial 16S ribosomal RNA". It matches the Rfam family "Bacterial small subunit ribosomal RNA", at positions 524 to 776 of the family's 1533-position model. The record is from RNAcentral.